CUGCGGCUCUGGCUGUGAUUGUG
RNAcentral lists this non-coding RNA (23 nucleotides) under Arabidopsis thaliana (thale cress). Lineage: Eukaryota; Viridiplantae; Streptophyta; Magnoliopsida; Brassicales; Brassicaceae. The record is from RNAcentral.